AAGCCACCUCCGUGGGUUGCGUGUUUGUGAAACGAAGAUGGGAACGGAGACUGGGCAGGUCCCGGGAGAAGCUGGCGCGCCCCCGCGUCCCCAGCACCCCGGCCGGGCUUGUGCGGACGUGUCUCGGGCGUGACCUCUGAGCAGCUGCGCCACCGGCUCAGCCUCGCGGCGGGAGAAACCCGAGCUCCCAACAAAACAGUUCCAUCUUUGGCAAGUCCUCUGAUACCAGGUGGUCAGCAGAGGCUCAGAAGCUUUACACCCUUACAAGAGGAAGUCUCCUUUCUAAUAUCAUCCCCCCCGUCCCCAAACUGAUUCCACUUGGCCUCUACCUGCCUGAGACAUGGAAGCAACCUAAGUGUGUAUUGACAGAGGAAU
Molecule: long non-coding RNA, 375 nt
Organism: Phacochoerus africanus (Common warthog)
Lineage: Eukaryota; Metazoa; Chordata; Mammalia; Artiodactyla; Suidae
Exons: 3
Source: RefSeq, a predicted model, not a curated record